ACAAUGAUUAUUUGUACAGAAUAUCCAGAAAUCCUAUUGCAGGGGACAACUACACAAUUGAAAUAACAGUGUACAAUUUACUGAACUACAGUAACGCACUAUCAGAUGUUAUUCUGACUGAUAAUUAUGGCACUGUAGAACAUCUCAACAUAACACAUGUGUCAUCGUCUUACGCAACAGUGGCUUUGGCAUCAACUCAGUUUACAGCGCAGGAAUAUCAAGUCAGCAUUUCUGGUAUCGAUGAAUAUGGAAAUACUUUCCGCAGAACAUCUUCAUCGAAGAUAAGACCAGUUAAGCUCAAGCUAAUCGUAAAUGUGCCUUCAGAAUUGAUCGCCGAUACUACAUCAAAGAUCGAGUAUACUGCCUUAAACUACUCACCAAACAACCAGACAUUCAUCGUAA
This is a long non-coding RNA of Mytilus trossulus (common blue mussel), 402 nucleotides long. RefSeq lists it as uncharacterized. Lineage: Eukaryota; Metazoa; Mollusca; Bivalvia; Mytilida; Mytilidae. The record is from RefSeq and is a predicted model, not a curated record. The transcript has 4 exons.